This is an RNA transcript of Zea mays, 2729 nucleotides long. RefSeq lists it as uncharacterized. The transcript has 9 exons. The record is from RefSeq and is a predicted model, not a curated record. Lineage: Eukaryota; Viridiplantae; Streptophyta; Magnoliopsida; Poales; Poaceae.
CGUGCACAUGUGCGCGUGUUCUGCCUCCCGCGAUCUCGCUCGUGAUAUUCCAGCCCCGCCGCCGCCGUCCCCGCCCCCAUCCGUGACACCCCACCAUCACCGCCGCGCCACGCGCGACAACUCCAUCCCCCGUCCGCACCCCUACCCCGAGCAUCGCAGCGCCUCCCGCACGAGGUCGUUGCGCUUGUCGAUCUGAUGGCGGCCCAUGGCAAAGGAGCAGGCGGUGAUGGCAGCCACAGCAGAAAGCCGACGCUCGGCGUGAUUCCCACCCGUCGCGAGCCAAGAGGUUCGAGGUCAUUUUUGAGCCAAGAGGUUCGCGGCCACGGGAGCAACCCUACAGAACCAUCACCACCACCGCUCUCUCUUCCUCUGCUCUUCUCUGCCUGCCUGAGCUCACCGCACCUCGCCUCCUCACCGCGGAUCCUCCGUUAAUCCGGUAGAAAAUGGCCGAUGCCGAGGAUAUCCAGCCCCUCGUCUGCGACAACGGAACUGGCAUGGUCAAGGCUGGGUUCGCUGGCGACGACGCCCCGAGGGCCGUCUUCCCCAGCAUCGUGGGGCGCCCGCGCCACAUUGGUGUCAUGGUCGGGAUGGGGCAGAAGGACGCCUACGUCGGUGACGAGGUGCAGUCCAAGAGGGGUAUCCUGACCCUCAAGUACCUCAGCUUACACAUCACAUUAUUCCCCACAUUACAGCAAUCAGUGCAACAAUCAGAGCAUUUAUUUAGGUUCUGCAAACCGAUCAUGACAAAACCAAAGGUAGCUUUGAAGCCGCAGACUCUGUCUCCACAACCUGAAGCCCAAGCACCUCAUGAUCCUCAAACACCAGAGCAACAACAAAGCGGGACUGGUGUAGGCGUGUAGCUGGUGAGCCGGGUAGUGAAGGAGGUGUGUACCAGGCCUCCAGUGAGCAAAUGGGCAUGGUGCCGGAUGCAUCUGCGGCCGGUGGCAGGAAGGUCGAGCUGGAUGGGGACAUGCGAUGGACAUCACAGGUUGGCCCCUCCAGUGAUCCAUCUCAAACACUAGCCAGGUUUCCUCCUUUGCCACCCUCCUUUGGCAGUUCUCUUCCUAACGUCGCCGUAGGUUCCCUUCCCUGCUGUUUUUGUCUCCCAUAGCUCUUAAAAUUUUAAGUUCCCUGUUUGCAUAAAGGCCAUAGGAAAAACGUUGAAUCAAAGCAAACUUGAUGCUUACCGAAAGCAUGUUCGAUGAGUUACUCAGAUUCAUGGCCCAGGAAUUGAAUCUACACGGUUUAAUAACUAUUUGCAUGGCUCUAAAUGCUUAAUUAGGUUUGCUCAUCGUUCCUCAGUGCUACUUCAUCUUGAUUUUCUGCUGAGUAUACAAGGGAUGAAUGAGGCUGCUCAUGGUGGACAGAACAGAAGACGAAAUGAAUCGCAAGGGGAAACUAACAUGCGAGAGAGGAGGAGCUAGCCACAACCAAAGAGCUUGGUUCAAUACUUCAAUGGCUAGAAUAAUGAACGAUAUGAAGAUCAGGUAGCAUUAUAUAUGUCAAUAAGAAGCAGAGGAGAGAAGCAGCCCACAUCGCAGGAGACAAGGACUUCACUUGUUUGGCCAGUUCAGGACUUCAGGAUGUUGUCGAUGAUGUCCAUGCUAUAUUCCCUCGCUUCAUGCUUAACAAUGAGGGAGAGACUAAGUGAGGGGCUGAAGGCCGUUGGUGCUGUCAGAAUGUUUUUUUGGAGUUUUGGUGGAUGAUGCUCAGUGACUGCAAUGCAAAGGAUCCUUCUGUUUUGUAUAUUGAAUGAGAUUACAUCACUGUUUUUUUCUUAGCGAUAUGUUGAGCUCAUGUGCUCGUUUAUGUUAGUCGAUCUCUGGCUCUUGUAGUAACUUGGAAAGCUUGCUGCUUUUUUUAAGGGCAUACAUGCCUGUGAUGUGUGGUCAUGAUCAUUUUUUUCUCCUGUUAUUUUAGUUGUCGUAUCAUAAAUGCCAUGUUUGCAUUGGUGUUCCAACAUGUCAAUAUUAUUGAAUAAAUGUUUGCAUUGGCGGCAGCGGGGACGACGCUAAGUCGAGCAAUGGCGAAGCGGCCCGUGGUGGCAGUAACGGUGGAGAGAAGCAGGGGGAUGAAUCCAACGGUGGCGGGAUACUUAGCGCUGUGGCUUCCAGGAUUGGCGUGGUCGUGUCCAGCGCCAACGGGGACCGCAGCGGCAGCGCUGAGGAUGGUGCCAAGACGAGCGCUGGCGACGCUGGUCACGGUAGCAAGGGCGAGGAGAAGGGGCGUGGUGUGAACGGUGGUAGAAUAGUCGAGCAGAUCAUUUCCAAUCUGCCCUCAGAUGAUCAGGCGCCUGAUGCCGAUGAAGCUUCCUUGCUCAUCGCCAUUAUCGAAGAUUAGCUCCAUGUUCCGAAGGCUCUCUAGGUCGUCCUCAACGCCAGGAUCAAAUCAUCAGCUGAGCCGGAGACUGAAAACAAUAAAGAAAAGCAAGCAGCUGGUCAUAGUAAACAUCAUGUAGCGAGGCUUAGCAGAUUGCUUUUUUUUCCCGUUAGAAUCAGUCCACAUGUCCUCGACACGGGCUAGAUUUGUUCUAGGAUUAUUUUUCCAGUAGUAAGCCAUGUAUCCAUGGACAGUCCACAGCGCGACGUCUAAUGUAACAUCAUCAAGGUUCUUUUGACUAUCCCAUAAGAAACCAUUCCUUAAGACAACCGAUAUUGUGAGUUGAUAACCAACAACUAAUGUUACCAUGCGAUUGUUCCGCAAAACAACUAUGCCCUCUUUCUGUAUCA